GACGUAGGGCGCGAGCGUUGUCCGGAUUUAUUGGGCGUAAAGAGCUCGUAGGCGGCUUGUUGCGUCGGCUGUGAAAACCCGCGGCUUAACCGUGGGCUUGCAGCUGAUACGGGCAGGCUAGAGUUCGGUAGGGGAGACUGGAAUUCCUGGUGUAGCGGUGAAAUGCGCAGAUAUCAGGAGGAACACCGGUGGCGAAGGCGGGUCUCUGGGCAGUAACUGACGCUGAGGAGCGAAAGCGUGGGGAGCGAACAGG
This 253-nucleotide ribosomal RNA is filed under the name uncultured bacterium. RNAcentral's name for it is "partial 16S ribosomal RNA". It matches the Rfam family "Bacterial small subunit ribosomal RNA", at positions 524 to 776 of the family's 1533-position model. The record is from RNAcentral.